RNAcentral lists this ribosomal RNA (2345 nucleotides) under Escherichia coli. Its description in RNAcentral is "partial 23S ribosomal RNA". It matches the Rfam family "Bacterial large subunit ribosomal RNA", at positions 165 to 2533 of the family's 2925-position model. Lineage: Bacteria; Pseudomonadati; Pseudomonadota; Gammaproteobacteria; Enterobacterales; Enterobacteriaceae. The record is from RNAcentral.
CAUAGGUUAAUGAGGCGAACCGGGGGAACUGAAACAUCUAAGUACCCCGAGGAAAAGAAAUCAACCGAGAUUCCCCCAGUAGCGGCGAGCGAACGGGGAGGAGCCCAGAGCCUGAAUCAGUGUGUGUGUUAGUGGAAGCGUCUGGAAAGGCGCGCGAUACAGGGUGACAGCCCCGUACACAAAAAUGCACAUACUGUGAGCUCGAUGAGUAGGGCGGGACACGUGGUAUCCUGUCUGAAUAUGGGGGGACCAUCCUCCAAGGCUAAAUACUCCUGACUGACCGAUAGUGAACCAGUACCGUGAGGGAAAGGCGAAAAGAACCCCGGCGAGGGGAGUGAAAAAGAACCUGAAACCGUGUACGUACAAGCAGUGGGAGCCUCUUAAUGGGGUGACUGCGUACCUUUUGUAUAAUGGGUCAGCGACUUAUAUUCUGUAGCAAGGUUAACCGAAUAGGGGAGCCGAAGGGAAACCGAGUCUUAACUGGGCGUUAAGUUGCAGGGUAUAGACCCGAAACCCGGUGAUCUAGCCAUGGGCAGGUUGAAGGUUGGGUAACACUAACUGGAGGACCGAACCGACUAAUGUUGAAAAAUUAGCGGAUGACUUGUGGCUGGGGGUGAAAGGCCAAUCAAACCGGGAGAUAGCUGGUUCUCCCCGAAAGCUAUUUAGGUAGCGCCUCGUGAAUUCAUCUCCGGGGGUAGAGCACUGUUUCGGCAAGGGGGUCAUCCCGACUUACCAACCCGAUGCAAACUGCGAAUACCGGAGAAUGUUAUCACGGGAGACACACGGCGGGUGCUAACGUCCGUCGUGAAGAGGGAAACAACCCAGACCGCCAGCUAAGGUCCCAAAGUCAUGGUUAAGUGGGAAACGAUGUGGGAAGGCCCAGACAGCCAGGAUGUUGGCUUAGAAGCAGCCAUCAUUUAAAGAAAGCGUAAUAGCUCACUGGUCGAGUCGGCCUGCGCGGAAGAUGUAACGGGGCUAAACCAUGCACCGAAGCUGCGGCAGCGACGCUUAUGCGUUGUUGGGUAGGGGAGCGUUCUGUAAGCCUGUGAAGGUGGCCUGUGAGGGUUGCUGGAGGUAUCAGAAGUGCGAAUGCUGACAUAAGUAACGAUAAAGCGGGUGAAAAGCCCGCUCGCCGGAAGACCAAGGGUUCCUGUCCAACGUUAAUCGGGGCAGGGUGAGUCGACCCCUAAGGCGAGGCCGAAAGGCGUAGUCGAUGGGAAACAGGUUAAUAUUCCUGUACUUGGUGUUACUGCGAAGGGGGGACGGAGAAGGCUAUGUUGGCCGGGCGACGGUUGUCCCGGUUUAAGCGUGUAGGCUGGUUUUCCAGGCAAAUCCGGAAAAUCAAGGCUGAGGCGUGAUGACGAGGCACUACGGUGCUGAAGCGACAAAUGCCCUGCUUCCAGGAAAAGCCUCUAAGCAUCAGGUAACAUUAAAUCGUACCCCAAACCGACACAGGUGGUCAGGUAGAGAAUACCAAGGCGCUUGAGAGAACUCGGGUGAAGGAACUAGGCAAAAUGGUGCCGUAACUUCGGGAGAAGGCACGCUGAUAUGUAGGUGAAGCGACUUGCUCGUGGAGCUGAAAUCAGUCGAAGAUACCAGCUGGCUGCAACUGUUUAUUAAAAACACAGCACUGUGCAAACACGAAAGUGGACGUAUACGGUGUGACGCCUGCCCGGUGCCGGAAGGUUAAUUGAUGGGGUUAGCGGUAACGCGAAGCUCUUGAUCGAAGCCCCGGUAAACGGCGGCCGUAACUAUAACGGUCCUAAGGUAGCGAAAUUCCUUGUCGGGUAAGUUCCGACCUGCACGAAUGGCGUAAUGAUGGCCAGGCUGUCUCCACCCGAGACUCAGUGAAAUUGAACUCGCUGUGAAGAUGCAGUGUACCCGCGGCAAGACGGAAAGACCCCGUGAACCUUUACUAUAGCUUGACACUGAACAUUGAGCCUUGAUGUGUAGGAUAGGUGGGAGGCUUUGAAGUGUGGACGCCAGUCUGCAUGGAGCCGACCUUGAAAUACCACCCUUUAAUGUUUGAUGUUCUAACGUGGGCCCCUUACCGGGGUUGCGGACAGUGUCUGGUGGGUAGUUUGACUGGGGCGGUCUCCUCCUAAAGAGUAACGGAGGAGCACGAAGGUUGGCUAAUCCUGGUCGGACAUCAGGAGGUUAGUGCAAUGGCAUAAGCCAGCUUGACUGCGAGCGUGACGGCGCGAGCAGGUGCGAAAGCAGGUCAUAGUGAUCCGGUGGUUCUGAAUGGAAGGGCCAUCGCUCAACGGAUAAAAGGUACUCCGGGGAUAACAGGCUGAUACCGCCCAAGAGUUCAUAUCGACGGCGGUGUUUGGCACCUCGAUGUC